This 195-nucleotide non-coding RNA is filed under the name Bacillota bacterium. The record is from RNAcentral. Lineage: Bacteria; Bacillati; Bacillota.
UUCCAUAGACAUAUAUAAAGUGCAUCUGCGGAUCUGAUCCGUUGGUGAGAGAGGGAAUCAGGUGAGAAGCCUGAGCGAUCCGGUCACUGUAAUCAGGGAGGAAAGCCCAGAAAGUCCAUUGUAUCGAAGGAUAUGAGAAGGAGGGCGGACCGAUGAUCUGUAAGCCAGGAAACCUGCUUGUAUAUGAUAAGGUUA